RNAcentral lists this long non-coding RNA (337 nucleotides) under Aotus nancymaae (Ma's night monkey). Its description in RNAcentral is "lncRNA (ENSANAG00000039345.1)". The record is from RNAcentral. Lineage: Eukaryota; Metazoa; Chordata; Mammalia; Primates; Aotidae.
AGGGAAGCAGCCUAGAAGCCAAGCGGGCACUAAGCGAGUGCGCACCGUGUGUGUGUGCGGGCGUGUGUGUGUGUGUGCGCGCGGGGGCGUGUGUGUUGUGUGUGUGUGUGUGUGCGCGUAGGUGCGCGCGCGUGUGUCUCAUCUCGUCCGUCUGUAGGCGCUGGGCUCGGCGAGACGCCGGAGAGAAAGAAGAGGAGGCGAGAGGUGAACUGAGUUUGAUCCUGCGGCGGCUACAACAGCAACUCCAGAGCCGCGAGACCGCGUCCCGGAACGGACUGCCUUUUCUUAAUUGAUACAAUAGCCCAGCUCGGGUUUUCUCCACCUCCUCCCCCACCCA